GUGGAGCCGUAGCGAAAGCGAGUCUGAAUAGGGCGUUUAGUAUUUGGUCGUAGACCCGAAACCAGGUGAUCUACCCUUGGUCAGGUUGAAGUUCAGGUAACACUGAAUGGAGGACCGAACCGACUUACGUUGAAAAGUGAGCGGAUGAACUGAGGGUAGCGGAGAAAUUCCAAUCGAACCUGGAGAUAGCUGGUUCUCUCCGAAAUAGCUUUAGGGCUAGCCUCAAGUGAUGAUUAUUGGAGGUAGAGCACUGUUUGGACGAGGGGCCCCUCUCGGGUUACCGAAUUCAGACAAACUCCGAAUGCCAAUUAAUUUAACUUGGGAGUCAGAACAUGGGUGAUAAGGUCCGUGUUCGAAAGGGAAACAGCCCAGACCACCAGCUAAGGUCCCAAAAUAUAUGUUAAGUGGAAAAGGAUGUGGCGUUGCCCAGACAACUAGGAUGUUGGCUUAGAAGCAGCCAUCAUUUAAAGAGUGCGUAAUAGCUCACUAGUCGAGUGACACUGCGCCGAAAAUGUACCGGGGCUAAACAUAUUACCGAAGCUGUGGAUUGUCCUUUGGACAAUGGUAGGAGAGCGUUCUAAGGGCGUUGAAGCAUGAUCGUAAGGACAUGUGGAGCGCUUAGAAGUGAGAAUGCCGGUGUGAGUAGCGAAAGACGGGUGAGAAUCCCGUCCACCGAUUGACUAAGGUUUCCAGAGGAAGGCUCGUCCGCUCUGGGUUAGUCGGGUCCUAAGCUGAGGCCGACAGGCGUAGGCGAUGGAUAACAGGUUGAUAUUCCUGUACCACCUAUAAUCGUUUUAAUCGAUGGGGGGACGCAGUAGGAUAGGCGAAGCGUGCGAUUGGAUUGCACGUCUAAGCAGUAAGGCUGAGUAUUAGGCAAAUCCGGUACUCGUUAAGGCUGAGCUGUGAUGGGGAGAAGACAUUGUGUCUUCGAGUCGUUGAUUUCACACUGCCGAGAAAAGCCUCUAGAUAGAAAAUAGGUGCCCGUACCGCAAACCGACACAGGUAGUCAAGAUGAGAAUUCUAAGGUGAGCGAGCGAACUCUCGUUAAGGAACUCGGCAAAAUGACCCCGUAACUUCGGGAGAAGGGGUGCUCUUUAGGGUUAACGCCCAGAAGAGCCGCAGUGAAUAGGCCCAAGCGACUGUUUAUCAAAAACACAGGUCUCUGCUAAACCGUAAGGUGAUGUAUAGGGGCUGACGCCUGCCCGGUGCUGGAAGGUUAAGAGGAGUGGUUAGCUUCUGCGAAGCUACGAAUCGAAGCCCCAGUAAACGGCGGCCGUAACUAUAACGGUCCUAAGGUAGCGAAAUUCCUUGUCGGGUAAGUUCCGACCCGCACGAAAGGCGUAACGAUUUGGGCACUGUCUCAACGAGAGACUCGGUGAAAUCAUAGUACCUGUGAAGAUGCAGGUUACCCGCGACAGGACGGAAAGACCCCGUGGAGCUUUACUGUAGCCUGAUAUUGAAAUUCGGCACAGCUUGUACAGGAUAGGUAGGAGCCUUUGAAACGUGAGCGCUAGCUUACGUGGAGGCGCUGGUGGGAUACUACCCUAGCUGUGUUGGCUUUCUAACCCGCACCACUUAUCG
Molecule: ribosomal RNA, 1581 nt
Filed under: Staphylococcus aureus
Lineage: Bacteria; Bacillati; Bacillota; Bacilli; Caryophanales; Staphylococcaceae
Description: partial 23S ribosomal RNA
Rfam family: Bacterial large subunit ribosomal RNA
Source: RNAcentral